This 22-nucleotide ribosomal RNA is filed under the name Collybiopsis fibrosipes. Its description in RNAcentral is "Gymnopus fibrosipes partial 18S ribosomal RNA". The record is from RNAcentral. Lineage: Eukaryota; Fungi; Basidiomycota; Agaricomycetes; Agaricales; Omphalotaceae. RNAcentral also lists the same sequence under 3 other names.
AACCUGCGGGAAGGGAUCAUUA